Molecule: long non-coding RNA, 1206 nt
Organism: Callithrix jacchus (white-tufted-ear marmoset)
Lineage: Eukaryota; Metazoa; Chordata; Mammalia; Primates; Cebidae
Source: RefSeq, a predicted model, not a curated record
CAGAUUAGAGAGGCAGGAACAUAGACAUCCACAUCUCAGAGUGUCACACUGUAAGAAGAGCAUGUGACAGGGAAUUAUUGUUGCAAGUGUCUUUGGAAUAGACCAUCUAUCAAAGACACACAAGACAGGCUGCUCCAAAAAUAGCUCUCCCCCAAAUCAGCUGCAGUCCCCAACUUCCACCAUUAAUUUCACAUCACUUAGUAUUUGGACACAGGUAAGGUCUCAUGAAAGAAGGUACAGAAUAUGAUUCCAACUUGGCAGCAAGAUGCCAAAAAGAGAGGAAGAGAUUUUUACCUUCUUGAGCCACACAAUAUGGUUGGAGGGCAGCAGUCCUUUCAAAUAUAUUCAGCCCCAUGAGACUUGAAGGAAAUCAGAGUGUGGGUGACAUGUACACACAGUCGUGAGAAAGGCCCUGCCCACCAUCAUCAGCCACAGUCUGUGUCUACCAGCAUAAGAUAAUAGACUACAGGAACAUCAGCAGAAUAGGAAAAUGGAUGUGGCAUCUCUCCACCUUCAAUAUUAGGAGAGGCACUCCCUCUCUCCUUGGGUUAAUAAAGAAGCUGGAUUAGGAGAAACGAAGAGGAAGCAAUAUGGGGUGGAUGUUUGUCCCCUUCAAAUCUCAUGUUGAAAUGUGAUUCUCAAUGUUGGAUGUGGGGCCUGGUGAAGAGUGGUUGGAUCAUGAGGGCAGAUCCCUCAUGAAUGGUUUAGCACCAUCCCCUUGAUGAUAAGUGAGUUUUUGCUCAGUUAGUUCACACAACAUCUGGUUGAUGAAGAGUCUGGGACCUCCCCUUUUCUCUCUCUUGCUCUUGUUCUCACCUUGUAAUAUUCCAGCUCCCAGUUUUUCUUCCGCCAUGAUUGUAGUUUUCCUGAAGCCCUCACCAGCUGCAGAUGCUGACACUAUGUUUCUUGUAUGGUCUGCAGAACUGUAAACCAAAAUAAAAAACUUUUUGACAGUGCACAAUGGCUCACACCUAUAAUGCCAGCACUUUGGAAGGCUGAGGCAGGUGGAUCACUUGAAAUCAGAAGUUUGAGACCAGCCUAGCCAACAUGGUGAAACCCUGUCUCUACCAAAAACACAAAAAUUACCCCAGCGUGGUGGUGUGUGUAUGUAAUCCCAGCUACUCAGAAGGCUGAGACACAAGAGUUGCUUAAACCCAGGAGGUGGAGGUUGCAGUGAGUCAAGAUCACUCCACUGCUCCAGCCUGG